AUGGUUUGUCUUUCUCAUGGAAGUCCUAUUGGAUUGGUUAUGGAUUAUGUUACUUCAAACAAUGUAACAUGUAAGGCCUCACUUUUCUUUAUCACCAUGAUCGGAGUACAGGACAAACUAUUGAAGUCGAAAUUGAAUCCAGUGGUCUUUACUAUCUUCAACCAUCCACUUCGACUAUAUGUGCUACUACCAAAUCUCCUGAUAUUUUGCAUCGC
Molecule: non-coding RNA, 215 nt
Organism: Vicia faba (fava bean)
Lineage: Eukaryota; Viridiplantae; Streptophyta; Magnoliopsida; Fabales; Fabaceae
Source: the annotation of a GenBank genome assembly